CCUACGGGAGGCAGCAGUGAGGAAUAUUGGUCAAUGGCCGGAAGGCCGAACCAGCCAAGCCGCGUGAAGGACGAAGGUGCCAAGCAUUGUAAACUUCUUUUGUCAAGGGACAAAAUCAGGCUCGAGAGCCUGACCGAGGGUACUUGAAGAAAAAGCAUCGGCUAACUCCGUGCCAGCAGCCGCGUUAAUACGGAGGAUGCGAGCGUUAUCCGGAUUUAGUGGGUUUAAAGGGUGCGUAGGCGGACUGUUAAGUCAGCGGUAAAAGCCCGGGGCUCAACCCCGGCGAGCCGGUGAAACUGGCUGUCUUGAGAUGUCGAGAGGUAUGCGGAAUGCGCAGUGUAGCGGUGAAAGGCUUAGAUAUCACGCAGAACGCCGAUUGCGAAGGCAGCAUACCGGCGCUCAACUGACGCUGAGGCACGAAAGCGUGGGGAUCGAACAGGAUUAGAUACCCGGGUAGUC
This 459-nucleotide ribosomal RNA is filed under the name uncultured bacterium. RNAcentral's name for it is "partial 16S ribosomal RNA". It matches the Rfam family "Bacterial small subunit ribosomal RNA", at positions 338 to 795 of the family's 1533-position model. The record is from RNAcentral.